RNAcentral lists this ribosomal RNA (465 nucleotides) under uncultured bacterium. RNAcentral's name for it is "partial 16S ribosomal RNA". It matches the Rfam family "Bacterial small subunit ribosomal RNA", at positions 338 to 795 of the family's 1533-position model. The record is from RNAcentral.
CCUACGGGAGGCAGCAGUGGGGAAUAUUGCGCAAUGGGCGAAAGCCUGACGCAGCGACGCCGCGUGAGGGAUGAAGGUCUUCGGAUCGUAAAACUCUGUCAGCAGGGAAGAACGGUCACUGUGCUAAUCAGCAGUGAAUUGACGGUACCUGCAAAGGAAGCACCGGCUAACUCCGUGCCAGCAGCCGCGGUAAUACGGAGGGUGCGAGCGUUCAUCGGAAUUAAUGGGCGUAAAGCGCUCGUAGGCGGUAUGUCAAGUCAAGGGUGAAAUCCCCGCGCUCAACGUGGGAACUGCCUUUGAAACUGGCAAACUGGAGUGUGUGAGAGGAUAGUGGAAUUCCAGGUGUAGGAGUGAAAUCCGUAGAUAUCUGGAGGAACAUCAGUGGCGAAGGCGACUAUCUGGCACAUAACUGACGCUGAGGAGCGAAAGCGUGGGUAGCAAACAGGAUUAGAUACCCUUGUAGGC